This is a long non-coding RNA of Peromyscus californicus insignis, 1649 nucleotides long. RefSeq lists it as uncharacterized. The transcript has 2 exons. NCBI's taxonomy places the organism in Eukaryota, Metazoa, Chordata, Mammalia, Rodentia, Cricetidae. The record is from RefSeq and is a predicted model, not a curated record.
GUUUCGGGGUGAGCUGGAGAGAAUGAAGCCAAAGUCGAUGUGGAUGAUGUGACCUUCUGCGUCCAGAAGGAUGUUCCCAUUGUGUCUGAGGAAGGGGAGGAGGAAGAGGCAACAUGACAUUUUUGGGGAUAAAUUAAACAGUGCAUUCCUAUUUCACCGUUUAAAACUCAGAACAUAACGAAUUCCACUUAUUGGAAAUUCAUGCUAUUAGAAAUCCCCGAAGCACACUUAAUAAAAGGAGGUACGUUUCUUGGUUGCACCAGUGCAGUGGACAUGCUCUUUCAGUUCCCCCAAGUGAUGGUUUUGUCAGAUUUCCCUCCAGACCUACUAAGAUCUUAAUGCAGGAAUAAUAGAGUGCACAUUUUCUAGAAAUAAAAGGAGGAAGUGAAUCUUAACAAAUAAUAUAUGAAAAUUAUUGUUUUGGCCCAAAUAGGUCCCACCGUUGUUGAGCUAACUUUCCCCUCAUAGGCAGAGAGACCCAUAACUGCACCAGUACCGAAAGCUGGUUACCUCUUUGUAGCCUCAGCUAUGAAUGAGAAAAACUUUCCAUAUUCAAGCUAUAAACAUGGAAUGUGACCUGAAAAAUAAGUCCAUAUGCCUUUGCUGCUUUUUGUUUUUUAUUCUGAGACAGUCUCAUUACCCAAGCUGGUCUGGAACAUAUGAGGAUGACCUUGAACUUCUGAUCUUCCUUCUGCUAUCUCCCAAGUGUGUGCCAGUAUGCCUGGUUUUAUGGGAUGCUGGAGACUGAACCCUGGUCUUUAUGUAUUUUAGAUAAACUCUACCAACUGAGCUACAUUCUCAGUCUUCCCCAGCCCACCCCCCUUUUUAAAAAGCAGUGUUGGGGAGAUGGCUCAGCAGUAAAGAUCACUGGCUGCUCUUCAAAGGACCAAGGUUUGAUUCCCAGCACCCAUGUGGCAGCUCACUGUAACUCCAGUUCCAGGGGAUCUGACACCCUCUUCUGGCCUUUGUGGACACCAGGUACGAACAUGGUGUGCAGACAUACUUGCAGGCAAAACACACAUAAAAUAAAAAUGUAAUAAAAAAUAAGCUCGGGCCGGGCGGUGGUGGCGCACGCCUUUAAUCCCAGCACUCGGGAGGCAGAGCCAGGCGGAUCUCUGUGAGUUCGAGGCCAGCCUGGUCUCCAAAGCAAGUUCCAGGAAAGGCGCAAAGCUACACAGAGAAACCCUGUCUCGAAAAACCAAAAAAAAAAAAACAAAAAAAAAAAAUAAGCUCUGGCAAAUUCUAUUAAAGAAAAAAUUGGAACGGCUUACUCUUCCUGGGCUUGUUGUGGCAGGCUUAUAUUGAUAUUAAAAAUCACCUGAUUGGUGGCAGUGCAUACUCUGUAGCAUAUUCUGCAUGCUAUGCCCAAAUAUUAUUGCCACUGUAGUGAUAGACGAGUUUUGGCUAACAUGGCACAGUCCUCUAUUUCAGACUUACUUAAAGCAGGAUAGUUGUUGGUGAGGAUGACCAAUUUUGCUUUGUCUUGUGAGACCAUGUUAAAUGUGUGUGAUUUUUUUGUUUGUUUCUCUCUGUAACAGCUCUGGAUGUCCUAAAACUUACUUUGUAGACCAGGCUGGCCUUGAACUCAGAGAUCUGCCUGCCUCUGCCUCCGGACUCCUGGGAUUAAAGGCGUGCGCCACUGCUGCUUG